UUUCUAACACGAGAAAACUUUGUUUACAUCCAUUACAAAAGUGUUUCCAUCACAAAAGUAUUUGCUUAUAACCAAACAUAAGUUAGUUUUUGCCGUUUAUACAAUAUGUUUCAGGCGCCACAGCUUCUUGUUUAUUUCAAGUGGCCAAUAAUACAAUGCUUCCUAAGUUCAUAUUGUAUAUUUCCACUUCCCCUCACAUAGCAAACGAUCGUCUUCAUUGUGAGGUAGAUCCAAUUGGUGCCAUGCUUCUUAGUGCAUAGACGAGGCGACCUCCAUAUAGACAUGU
RNAcentral lists this long non-coding RNA (286 nucleotides) under Hordeum vulgare. RNAcentral describes it as "long non-coding RNA (HVUL_LNC017340)". The record is from RNAcentral. Lineage: Eukaryota; Viridiplantae; Streptophyta; Magnoliopsida; Poales; Poaceae.